AUUGAACGCUGGCGGCAUGCUUUACACAUGCAAGUCGGACGGCAGCACAGAGAAGCUUGCUUCUUGGGUGGCGAGUGGCGAACGGGUGAGUAAUAUAUCGGAACGUACCGAGUAAUGGGGGAUAACUAAUCGAAAGAUUAGCUAAUACCGCAUAUUCUCUGAGGAGGAAAGCAGGGGACCUUCGGGCCUUGCGUUAUUCGAGCGGCCGAUAUCUGAUUAGCUAGUUGGUGGGGUAAAGGCCUACCAAGGCGACGAUCAGUAGCGGGUCUGAGAGGAUGAUCCGCCACACUGGGACUGAGACACGGCCCAGACUCCUACGGGAGGCAGCAGUGGGGAAUUUUGGACAAUGGGCGCAAGCCUGAUCCAGCCAUGCCGCGUGUCUGAAGAAGGCCUUCGGGUUGUAAAGGACUUUUGUCAGGGAAGAAAAGGCUGUUGCUAAUAUCAAUAGCUGAUGACGGUACCUGAAGAAUAAGCACCGGCUAACUACGUGCCAGCAGCCGCGGUAAUACGUAGGGUGCGAGCGUUAAUCGGAAUUACUGGGCGUAAAGCGAGCGCAGACGGUUACUUAAGCAGGAUGUGAAAUCCCCGGGCUCAACCUGGGAACUGCGUUCUGAACUGGGUGACUAGAGUGUGCCAGAGGGAGGUAGAAUUCCACGUGUAACAGUGAAAUGCGUAGAGAUGUGGAGGAAUACCGAUGGCGAAGGCAGCCUCCUGGGAUAACACUGACGUUCAUGCUCGAAAGCGUGGGUAGCAAACAGG
This 759-nucleotide ribosomal RNA is filed under the name Neisseria subflava. Its description in RNAcentral is "bacterial SSU rRNA". It matches the Rfam family "Bacterial small subunit ribosomal RNA", at positions 28 to 776 of the family's 1533-position model. The record is from RNAcentral. Lineage: Bacteria; Pseudomonadati; Pseudomonadota; Betaproteobacteria; Neisseriales; Neisseriaceae.